Molecule: ribosomal RNA, 1343 nt
Filed under: uncultured bacterium
Lineage: Bacteria
Description: 16S ribosomal RNA
Rfam family: Bacterial small subunit ribosomal RNA
Source: RNAcentral
GACGAACGCUGGCGGCGUGCUUAACACAUGCAAGUCGAACGGAAAGGCCCUGCUUUUGUGGGGUGCUCGAGUGGCGAACGGGUGAGUAACACGUGAGUAACCUGCCCUUGACUUUGGGAUAACUUCAGGAAACUGGGGCUAAUACCGGAUAGGAGCUCCUGCUGCAUGGUGGGGGUUGGAAAGUUUCGGCGGUUGGGGAUGGACUCGCGGCUUAUCAGCUUGUUGGUGGGGUAGUGGCUUACCAAGGCUUUGACGGGUAGCCGGCCUGAGAGGGUGACCGGCCACAUUGGGACCGAGAUACGGCCCAGACUCCUACGGGAGGCAGCAGUGGGGAAUAUUGCACAAUGGGCGGAAGCCUGAUGCAGCAACGCCGCGUGCGGGAUGACGGCCUUCGGGUUGUAAACCGCUUUCGCCUGUGACGAAGCGUGAGUGACGGUAAUGGGUAAAGAAGCACCGGCUAACUACGUGCCAGCAGCCGCGGUGAUACGUAGGGUGCGAGCGUUGUCCGGAUUUAUUGGGCGUAAAGGGCUCGUAGGUGGUUGAUCGCGUCGGAAGUGUAGUCUUGGGGCUUAACCCUGAGCGUGCUUUCGAUACGGGUUGACUUGAGGAAGGUAGGGGAGAAUGGAAUUCCUGGUGGAGCGGUGGAAUGCGCAGAUAUCAGGAGGAACACCAGUGGCGAAGGCGGUUCUCUGGGCCUUUCCUGACGCUGAGGAGCGAAAGCGUGGGGAGCGAACAGGCUUAGAUACCCUGGUAGUCCACGCUGUAAACGGUGGGUACUAGGUGUGGGGUCCAUUCCACGGGUUCCGUGCCGUAGCUAACGCUUUAAGUACCCCGCCUGGGGAGUACGGCCGCAAGGCUAAAACUCAAAGGAAUUGACGGGGCCCCGCACAAGCGGCGGAGCAUGCGGAUUAAUUCGAUGCAACGCGUAGAACCUUACCUGGGUUUGACAUGGAUCGGGAGUGCUCAGAGAUGGGUGUGCCUCUUUUGGGGUCGGUUCACAGGUGGUGCAUGGCUGUCGUCAGCUCGUGUCGUGAGAUGUUGGGUUAAGUCCCGCAACGAGCGCAACCCUUGUUCACUGUUGCCAGCACGUUAUGGUGGGGACUCAGUGGAGACCGCCGGGGUCAACUCGGAGGAAGGUGGGGAUGACGUCAAGUCAUCAUGCCCCUUAUGUCCAGGGCUUCACGCAUGCUACAAUGGCUGGUACAGAGAGUGGCGAGCCUGUGAGGGUGAGCGAAUCUCGGAAAGCCGGUCUCAGUUCGGAUUGGGGUCUGCAACUCGACCUCAUGAAGUCGGAGUCGCUAGUAAUCGCAGAUCAGCAACGCUGCGGUGAAUACGUUCCCGGG